UGGAUCCAGACUUUGAUCCUGGCUCAGAUUGAACGCUGGCGGCAGGCCUAACACAUGCAAGUCGAACGGUAACAGGAAGAAGCUUGCUUCUUUGCUGACGAGUGGCGGACGGGUGAGUAAUGUCUGGGAAACUGCCUGAUGGAGGGGGAUAACUACUGGAAACGGUAGCUAAUACCGCAUAACGUCGCAAGACCAAAGAGGGGGACCUUCGGGCCUCUUGCCAUCGGAUGUGCCCAGAUGGGAUUAGCUAGUAGGUGGGGUAACGGCUCACCUAGGCGACGAUCCCUAGCUGGUCUGAGAGGAUGGCCAGCCACACUGGAACUGAGACACGGUCCAGACUCCUACGGGAGGCAGCAGUGGGGAAUAUUGCACAAUGGGCGCAAGCCUGAUGCAGCCAUGCCGCGUGUAUGAAGAAGGCCUUCGGGUUGUAAAGUACUUUCAGCGGGGAGGAAGGGAGUAAAGUUAAUACCUUUGCUCAUUGACGUUACCCGCAGAAGAAGCACCGGCUAACUCCGUGCCAGCAGCCGCGGUAAUACGGAGGGUGCAAGCGUUAAUCGGAAUUACUGGGCGUAAAGCGCACGCAGGCGGUUUGUUAAGUCAGAUGUGAAAUCCCCGGGCUCAACCUGGGAACUGCAUCUGAUACUGGCAAGCUUGAGUCUCGUAGAGGGGGGUAGAAUUCCAGGUGUAGCGGUGAAAUGCGUAGAGAUCUGGAGGAAUACCGGUGGCGAAGGCGGCCCCCUGGACGAAGACUGACGCUCAGGUGCGAAAGCGUUGGGAGCAAACAGGAUUAGAUACCCUGGUAGUCCACGCCGUAAACGAUGUCGACUUGGAGGUUGUGCCCUUGAGGCGUGGCUUCCGGAGCUAACGCGUUAAGUCGACCGCCUGGGGAGUACGGCCGCAAGGUUACAACUCAAAGGAAUUGACGGA
This 927-nucleotide ribosomal RNA is filed under the name uncultured organism. RNAcentral's name for it is "bacterial SSU rRNA". It matches the Rfam family "Bacterial small subunit ribosomal RNA", at positions 1 to 917 of the family's 1533-position model. The record is from RNAcentral.